UGGGGCGUAGCCAAGCCGGUAAGGCACGGGACUUUGACUCCCGCACGCGUUGGUUCGAGUCCAGCCGCCCCAGCCA
Molecule: transfer RNA, 76 nt
Filed under: Allolucifera butyrica
Lineage: Bacteria; Bacillati; Bacillota; Negativicutes; Veillonellales; Veillonellaceae
Description: Lucifera butyrica tRNA
Rfam family: tRNA
About the family: Transfer RNA (tRNA) molecules are approximately 80 nucleotides in length. Their secondary structure includes four short double-helical elements and three loops (D, anti-codon, and T loops).
Source: RNAcentral